Molecule: unclassified non-coding RNA, 145 nt
Filed under: soil metagenome
Description: partial internal transcribed spacer 1
Source: RNAcentral
UCGUGGAGCUCCGGCUCCUUCGAGGGAGAGCCCUUGUCUUUUCGAGCACCUGUUUGUUUCCUCGGCAGGCCCGCCUGCCAAUGGGGACCCCUUUAAACUCUUGCAAUAACCUGUAUGAGAUCGUCUGAACAAAACAAACAAAUCA